UCAUUUCUCGUAUAACUAAUUAAAAUACGAUACCAUCCUAUAUCCCUACAUCCUUGUUAUAUCAUCCGCAUAUACACGGUACCCAGACCAAGCUAUAACUUUUCAAUGGGAAUCUCUGCUAGAAUUCAACGAAUCUUCGCAGAAUUUCCGCCUUAUAUCCUCGAUACGCUUAAUGUUAUACCAUUCAUUUCGAGAGUCCUUCACAAAACGGAGCUACAGUUGCCCCGGCGAACGAGAACGGGAGAAAGGGAAGAUCACUGAAUCGAAAGGAGAAGGAGCAAAUAAAAGAAGGAGAAGCAUAAACAGGCAGAGACGAAGUGUCUGUAGCAAGCCACAGAUUCAUCCCGCUCCUCGGUCUUGACGAGCUCUCUACCACCGGAAAUUGAAAACAGGAACGAGGGAGAAAAUGAAUGGCCAUUGCCUGGUUUUGAGCGAACUUUCCCUGGUGGUUGAAAGGUGAAGUAAUGAGAUAUUUAUAGUGAAUUCGUGAAGCAUCAAAGUGAUAUUAAUAUUGGAAUUAAAGAUAGAUUUAUCAAAGUUAAUUAUUAUAACUUUAAGUUGCUAUUAGGUUACAAUAUAUAAAAUAUCCAAUUGUA
This is a long non-coding RNA of Bombus impatiens (common eastern bumble bee), 596 nucleotides long. RefSeq lists it as uncharacterized. Lineage: Eukaryota; Metazoa; Arthropoda; Insecta; Hymenoptera; Apidae. The transcript is spliced from 2 exons. The record is from RefSeq and is a predicted model, not a curated record.